CAGUCGCCGCGGUAAUACGAAGGGUGCAAGCGUUAAUCGGAAUUACUGGGCGUAAAGCGUGCGUAGGCGGUGAGUUAAGUCUGCUGUGAAAUCCCCGGGCUCAACCUGGGAAUGGCAGUGGAUACUGGCUCGCUAGAGUGUGUCAGAGGAUGGUGGAAUUCCCGGUGUAGCGGUGAAGUGCGUAGAGAUCGGGAGGAACAUCAGUGGCGAAGGCGGCCAUCUGGGACAACACUGACGCUGAGGCACGAAAGCGUGGGGAGCAAACAGGAUUAGAUACCCCCGUAGUCCCUGUCUCUUAUAC
Molecule: ribosomal RNA, 301 nt
Filed under: uncultured bacterium
Lineage: Bacteria
Description: partial 16S ribosomal RNA
Rfam family: Bacterial small subunit ribosomal RNA
Source: RNAcentral